Molecule: microRNA precursor, 75 nt
Filed under: Haemonchus placei
Lineage: Eukaryota; Metazoa; Nematoda; Chromadorea; Rhabditida; Trichostrongylidae
Description: mir-5928 microRNA precursor family
Rfam family: mir-5928 microRNA precursor family
Source: Rfam by way of RNAcentral
GGCCCGAAUUUGAAGUAGAUUAGAUUAGUACUAUCAGCUUACCAUACUAAACUACUCUACUUCAAGUUCGUUUCC